Molecule: long non-coding RNA, 849 nt
Organism: Colias croceus (clouded yellow)
Lineage: Eukaryota; Metazoa; Arthropoda; Insecta; Lepidoptera; Pieridae
Exons: 2
Source: RefSeq, a predicted model, not a curated record
GUGUCUUUCUAAAACACACAGCGUUGGAUGAAGAAAGCAGUCUAUGAAUCCUAUAUAUCUCUAUGCAAAUUGGGUCACCUUACCAAAUAUCGAUGGAUCUUUCACCUCACUAGCAAGAGCGCGUCCCUAGUAUGGCAUCUGUCAUCAUCGCCUUUGAAGCGCUGUCAUCUUCCAAGCUCCAUAGCGUUUAUGAAUUCGUGCGCAAUAACAUCGCGCAGAAUAUAAUUCUCGAAUUCGAAUAUAUAUAAUUAUAAUUCUCGAAUAUUAAGUGUGAUAAAACACACACGCGUUAAAUUUUAGUGUUUUUCUAGUGAAAAACGGAAUUAGUUCCAAUAUGAAACACAAAAGACCACGUUGUCGGAAGAAAAUUCGAAAACCGGUGCUUUGGUAUGUAUAAUAGUGGCGGGAACUCUUUUUCGUCCUCGGAGGACGAGAGAAGUAAUGGUUCGUCACUGCCCAAGAGACCGGGAGACGAGAAAUUCCCAGAUAUCAAACACAUCUUCAUCCAACGCUGUGUGUUUUAGAAAGACACAUAAUAUUGAUGUUUUGCAUUAAAACAAAACAUGUAUUAUGUGUCGAAUAAAACACACAGCGUUGCAGUUUACUGCUUGCUGAUGAAGAUGCUAUGGAGCUUGGAAGAUGACAGCGCUUCAAAGGCGAUGAUGACAGAUGCCAUACUAGGGACGCGCUCUUGCUAGUGAGGUGAAAGAUCCAUCGAUAUUUGGUAAGGUGACCCAAUUUGCAUAGAGAUAUAUAGGAUUCAUAGACUGCUUUCUUCAUCCAACGCUGUGUGUUUUAUUCGACACAUAAUACAUGUUUUGUUUUAAUGCAAAACAUCAAUAUUAUUGA